AUUGAACGCUGGCGGCAGGCUUAACACAUGCAAGUCGAGCGGGGGAAGGUAGCUUGCUACCGGACCUAGCGGCGGACGGGUGAGUAAUGCUUAGGAAUCUGCCUAUUAGUGGGGGACAACAUCUCGAAAGGGAUGCUAAUACCGCAUACGUCCUACGGGAGAAAGCAGGGGAUCUUCGGACCUUGCGCUAAUAGAUGAGCCUAAGUCGGAGUAGCUAGUUGGUGGGGUAAAGGCCUACCAAGGCGACGAUCUGUAGCGGGACUGAGAGGAUGAUCCGCCACACUGUGACUGAGACACGGCCCAGACUCCUACGGGAGGCAGCAGUGGGGAAUAUUGGACAAUGGUGGGAACCCUGAUCCAGCCAUGCCGCGUGUGUGAAGAAGGCCUUAUGGUUGUAAAGCACUUUAAGCGAGGAGGAGGCUACUUUAGUUAAUACCUAGAGAUAGUGGACGUUACUCGCAGAAUAAGCACCGGCUAACUCUGUGCCAGCCGCCGCGGUAA
Molecule: ribosomal RNA, 501 nt
Filed under: uncultured bacterium
Lineage: Bacteria
Description: partial 16S ribosomal RNA
Rfam family: Bacterial small subunit ribosomal RNA
Source: RNAcentral